UCCGAAACAGUUGGAUUUCUCUUUAUGUCUAAUGUCACCCAUUGAGCAUGUAUGUGUAAUAGGUGUCAUGCCCCGAGCCCGCCUAUUUGGUCGGAUUCGGUCACGCCAACAGACCGCCAAACGUACAGGGUUUUUUCUGUACCACGGACAGAGUCUCCUCUAUACGUCCAAGGCGUCACAAUUCAUACAAUGCGUGAGGUUCCAACCAGGAGCAACAUACAACAAAGAUUGCAUAAGGAAGAUAUCGAAAACAUAAAUACAUCUAUGCUAUUACAAAAAUUCGUCUCACAUUACAUUUUACAUACACAUUUUGCAUUAUUUAACUCUUUUUAGCUUCCAAAUACAAUCCGAUUUAACAUGAUUAUUACAACAUUGUUCUUUUCAUUUUUUUUACAUCCCUAAGUAGCCGACUUAGGGUACUGCUAUCUCUAGUCUCGGUGGUAGGGCGCUAACUACCGAGCUACGCCAUUUCCUCGCGCCGCUGCGCCACUCACGCGUGAACCUGUACCCCCAAAAAUAACACGGCGGUGAGAACUAUUGUCCAUAGUUCCCAAUGGGUACGGCCACCCAAGGGAAGAGCUCGACCCACCAGGUCUAAAGGAGGCACUGCAAACAUGUUAGUCCAACAAAUAUCCACAGAUAUAUAUAAUUUAUGCAACUAACAAUUAUUAUGUUCAUACCUCACAAUAUGCAAUAUGUGAAUCAAUCAAGUAGUUCACUUGAUUCUAUUCUUUACCGUUUGUCAUUCUUCAAUAUUAUUCGUUCUUGAUUACUAGCCAUUCUUUAUCACUAGCCGUUCUCUAACGCUAGCCAUUUCUUAUUACCAGUCGUUCUUGAUUCUUAGCCAUUCUUUAUUAUUACUAUACUUUAGCAUUAACCGUUCUUUAUUCUUUAUUCUUUAAUAAGGGUACUCACACCUUAGCCAUAUUAUACUCAUUUGCCAUUCUUUCC
RNAcentral lists this long non-coding RNA (951 nucleotides) under Ananas comosus (pineapple). RNAcentral's name for it is "long non-coding RNA (ACOM_LNC043144)". The record is from RNAcentral. Lineage: Eukaryota; Viridiplantae; Streptophyta; Magnoliopsida; Poales; Bromeliaceae.